GGGGAUGUAGCUCUAAUGGUAGAGCGCUCGCUUCGCAUGCGAGAGGUACGGGGAUCGAUACCCCGCAUCUCCA
This 73-nucleotide transfer RNA is filed under the name Ipomoea nil (Japanese morning glory). It matches the Rfam family "tRNA". Rfam says of the family: Transfer RNA (tRNA) molecules are approximately 80 nucleotides in length. Lineage: Eukaryota; Viridiplantae; Streptophyta; Magnoliopsida; Solanales; Convolvulaceae. The record is from Rfam by way of RNAcentral.